GAUGAACGCUGGCGGCGUGCCUAAUACAUGCAAGUCGAGCGAACGGACGAGAAGCUUGCUUCUCUGAUGUUAGCGGCGGACGGGUGAGUAACACGUGGAUAACCUACCUAUAAGACUGGGAUAACUUCGGGAAACCGGAGCUAAUACCGGAUGAUAUUUUGAACCGCAUGGUUCAAAAGUGAAAGACGGUCUUGCUGUCACUUAUAGAUGGAUCCGCGCUGCAUUAGCUAGUUGGUAAGGUAACGGCUUACCAAGGCAACGAUGCAUAGCCGACCUGAGAGGGUGAUCGGCCACACUGGAACUGAGACACGGUCCAGACUCCUACGGGAGGCAGCAGUAGGGAAUCUUCCGCAAUGGGCGAAAGCCUGACGGAGCAACGCCGCGUGAGUGAUGAAGGCCUUCGGGUCGUAAAACUCUGUUAUUAGGGAAGAACAUAUGUGUAAGUAACUGUGCACAUCUUGACGGUACCUAAUCAGAAAGCCACGGCUAACUACGUG
RNAcentral lists this ribosomal RNA (497 nucleotides) under uncultured bacterium. Its description in RNAcentral is "partial 16S ribosomal RNA". It matches the Rfam family "Bacterial small subunit ribosomal RNA", at positions 28 to 507 of the family's 1533-position model. The record is from RNAcentral.